UACGAGGGGGGCCAGCGUUGUUCGGAAUUAUUGGGCGUAAAGGGCGCGUAGGCGGCGCCACAAGUCACUUGUGAAAACUCUGGGCUCAACUCAGAGCCUGCAAGCGAAACUGUGGUGCUGGAGUAUGGGAGAGGUGCGUGGAAUUCCCGGUGUAGCGUGGAAAGGCGUAGAUAUCGGGAGGAACACCGGUGGCGAAAGCGGCGCACUGGACCAUAACUGACGCUGAGGCGCGAAAGCUAGGGGAGCAAACAGG
Molecule: ribosomal RNA, 253 nt
Filed under: uncultured bacterium
Lineage: Bacteria
Description: partial 16S ribosomal RNA
Rfam family: Bacterial small subunit ribosomal RNA
Source: RNAcentral